This 1245-nucleotide long non-coding RNA is filed under the name Mytilus galloprovincialis (Mediterranean mussel). The record is from RNAcentral. Lineage: Eukaryota; Metazoa; Mollusca; Bivalvia; Mytilida; Mytilidae.
UGUUCGUCAAGUUGUGGCGGAGGAAUACAAGAGCGACAACGACACUGUGACAGCCCACCACCAUAUUUGGCUGGAAGAUAUUGCUCUGGAUUGCCAAUCGAAAGUCGUUCAUGUAAUAUGAUGUGUUGUCCAAGUAUGUGUUCAUUGAAUUAUACGUAUAUGUAUGCAUAAUAUUUUAAAGACGAGAACACAAAGAUAUUUAAAUGUUAUAACAUGUUUAAAGUAUAAUCAUUUCAAGUGUGUUUCUUGCUAAUAAGGUCAAAUGAACAGAAUAAAAAGAUUAUCAAUUACCAGUUUCAAAAUAUUUUUGAAUAAAUUUCAAACCCUUAUAGUGUAUUUUAGUAAUAAAAAAAAAACUAACAGUGUCCAUAUGGUCACAAGGGAAUAACCCUCAACCGAAGUAUUUAUUGUUUGUCCUUCUAUUUGAGUUAACGUUGUGAACAAAGUAUUCACUGUAUACCAAUUGUCAUCAAUUGUUAAAAACAGCAAUUGAUCAAUCAUGUAAGCUUUGAUGUCUUUCUUUGUGUGAUAUAUCAUCAUUCCUUAUUUUACUGACAAUUUUGAUUAAGAUAUGUUCGCGCUUAUUUUACAAUCAGUUGCAAAUCAAGUAUUAUAUUAACUAUAUAAGCAAGCACUAAUCAUUUUUGGUGGAAUAACACCUAAAUGGCUCAACAUGAUGAAACUGUUUUUGAAUUCAAUGAUAAUGACCUGUAUGCAAUUGAGAUUUGUACCUUAACAAUUGGCAGAAGUUACGAAACGGCCAUACAAGACUCACAUGUAAAAAAAAACAACCAAAAAACACGAAAAAACUUGAGCAGUUCAGAAAAAAGAAACAUAUUUAAAGACAGAGCACCCCGUACUAAAUGAUGAAUGGACGUGUGUUUACCUCAGACAGUGUUACAUAUAUAUAAGUUAUGGUUUAAGUAUCCCUAUUUAUAAUAGAAAACCCUAUAAUAACAACAUGAUUAUAAUCAAAAUAAACAAUAUGAUUUACAUAUUGCCAAUUUUAUUUUGAAGAUAAAUUAACAUAGAAUAAUUAUUAUGUAUUUUUUUGGGGCGCUGGCACGGCUUUCUCACAUCUUAUAUCUGAAGGUACCUGGUCUGAAUGGAGUACCUGUCCAGUUAGUUGUGGUGGUGGUAUUCAACACAGAUUAAAAGAUUGCCACAUUCAAUCAUCAAUUUCGGAUUCAACCUAUUGUGAUGCGUCAAUGGAAAGUCGGUUAUGUAAUAAUACAUGCUGUUCCG